This 34-nucleotide transfer RNA is filed under the name Equus sp. Its description in RNAcentral is "partial tRNA-Asn". Lineage: Eukaryota; Metazoa; Chordata; Mammalia; Perissodactyla; Equidae. The record is from RNAcentral.
GGGUAUUUAGCUGUUAACUAAAAUUUCGUGGGAU